Molecule: ribosomal RNA, 712 nt
Filed under: uncultured marine eukaryote
Lineage: Eukaryota
Description: SSU rRNA
Rfam family: Eukaryotic small subunit ribosomal RNA
Source: RNAcentral
GUUAAAACGCUCGUAGUCGGAUUUCGGGGCGAGCCUGCCGGUCUGCCGAUGGGUAUGCACUGGCAGGGUCGUCCUUCCUUCCGGAGACUGUCCCUACUCUUAACUGAGCGGGGUCGGGAGACGGAUCGUUUACUUUGAAAAAAUCAGAGUGUUUCAAGCAGGCAGCUCGCUCUUGCAUGGAUUAGCAUGGGAUAAUGAAAUAGGACUUUGGUGCUAUUUUGUUGGUUUCGAACACCGAAGUAAUGAUUAACAGGGACAGUCAGGGGCACUCGUAUUCCGCCGAGAGAGGUGAAAUUCUCAGACCAGCGGAAGACGAACCACUGCGAAAGCAUUUGCCAGGGAUGUUUUCACUGAUCAAGAACGAAAGUUAGGGGAUCGAAGACGAUCAGAUACCGUCGUAGUCUUAACCAUAAACCAUGCCGACUAGGGAUUGGAGGAUGUCCUUUUUUGACUCCUUCAGCACCUUACGGGAAACUAAAGUCUUUGGGUUCCGGGGGGAGUAUGGUCGCAAGGCUGAAACUUAAAGGAAUUGACGGAAGGGCACCACCAGGAGUGGAGCCUGCGGCUUAAUUUGACUCAACACGGGGAAACUUACCAGGUCCAGACAUUGUGAGGAUUGACAGAUUGAGAGCUCUUUCUUGAUUCGAUGGGUGGUGGUGCAUGGCCGUUCUUAGUUGGUGGAGUGAUUUGUCUGGUUAAUUCCGUUAACGAA